UACGUAGGGUGCAAGCGUUGUCCGGAUUUAUUGGGCGUAAAGAGCUCGUAGGCGGUCUGUCGCGUCGGAUGUGAAAACCCAGGGCUCAACCCUGGGCCUGCAUUCGAUACGGGCAGACUAGAGUGUGGCAGGGGAGACUGGAAUUCCUGGUGUAGCGGUGAAAUGCGCAGAUAUCAGGAGGAACACCGGUGGCGAAGGCGGGUCUCUGGGCCAAUACUGACGCUGGAGGAGCGAAAGCGUGGGGAGCGAACAGG
Molecule: ribosomal RNA, 254 nt
Filed under: uncultured bacterium
Lineage: Bacteria
Description: partial 16S ribosomal RNA
Rfam family: Bacterial small subunit ribosomal RNA
Source: RNAcentral